Molecule: ribosomal RNA, 1681 nt
Filed under: Triticum aestivum (bread wheat)
Lineage: Eukaryota; Viridiplantae; Streptophyta; Magnoliopsida; Poales; Poaceae
Description: partial small subunit ribosomal RNA
Source: RNAcentral
CAACAAUCACACAUGAAAAAAGGAAGCAGAUCCAAUCGAAUCCCCUCACCCUCAACGAAGCGCUGCACCUCCGGCUUGUGGCGUCAGCCUUCUCUCCCUCCUCACCAGAUUUUGUCUUCGCCAUCGAGAGGUGUUAAGGGAGGCGCACGCGACGCGACGACGGCGGGGAGAAGCGGCGCAUUGGCGGACAGCCGGACAUCAGCGCAUAUGCAGCACAUAGCAGCGGCGGCUGUAAGGCCAUGGCGGACGAGCAGGUGGUGCGGCUGAGGGCGGGAGAAGAGAGGCUGGGCGGCGCCGGAGGCGGAGCUCGGCCGCAAGCGUGGCACGCACAGGGCAGUGCCGCGCGAGCGCCCUGCAGUCGCAUCACCGAGCGGCAACCCCGCCGCCACACUACUGCACGAGGGCAGCGCCACCGCAUCGCCGAGCCACAGCCCGGCCGUUCCCGGCCGGAGGUCGCCGACGCCUUUCCCAACUUUUGGGUUGGCACCCUGAUCGGACGCCUCCCUUUUGGUUAACAUGUUUCUAUGAAAUUGAACAUUUCAGUAACAUUCUGCUGUGUGUUCACAACUUCACAUUAAUUCAGAAAUUGUAUGUAUGAAUCGACUGCAUCCGAUGAUGUGCUUCUCCUGUUCCCUUGAAAGGAUUGCUGGAUGGAAAGAUGUUUUUGCUUUCAGGAUUUCUGGUGUGUGUACGACCCUCUAAGUAACUCUUUUUCAUCUCAUGCAGCAGCAGAGGCUUAGAGGAAGGCGCUGCAGCGUGGAUGCACAUGGGAUGCUGCAGAUACAUGUGCCAAAGAGGAGGAGAGUAUGAAAAGAUAAAGGAGUCAGGAAGGACCGAAGGAGAAAUCAUAUGAACAUGAACCUGAUGAUGACCCAUAGUUGGAUGUAUGUGAGAGGAUCCACAAAUUGUCAAGCACACAUGCUACAACCAUCAACUUCUGGGAUAUUAACUAUCUAACUUGGCAAUGUUCACAAAAUGGUUUCCAUCAUCUAUGUGAUUCUGUUUCCAUUAUAGCUGUUUGUUUCUCCAAUGACUAUGUCUACUGUUACGCACGAUAAGAAAUCUAUUCAGGCUAUGUCACUGCAUCCAAAAGACUUGGUACCCACGAGUUCGUUUUCCUAUUAUGUACAUUGCUGGAAGCCUGGAACCUUUAAAAAAAUUAUAACCUUACAAUUCAGUAUUUCAUAUGCCAUCUGAUGAUACAAGGUCUUCACAGGAAAAACAAUGGCACUUGCCCUUUUAGAAAACAAACAGAGGAUUUUUGGGCGAACCCUCACUUUUAAUGCAAGUUCACUGGACGACUACCAUAUCUUUAUGUACCAUUUGAUUGCUUGGAUGAAGUUUUUUUCUGGGGGAUUGCUUGGAUGAAGUUGAACGGGAGAUCCCCAUCAGCUUUUAGAAGGCAUGAUUUUGUUUGGUUGGUUUGGUGGACAAUUCAGGUAUAUAUCCCAUUAAAACUAAUAUAGCUCCAACCAGGGCAGAACCAAGUGGUUAAAAACUGAGUGAGCCGAGACAUUUCUUGACGCGACUGGUUAAGCUUAAAUUUCCAUGUGAUAUUCAUUUCUUAAGUAAUAAGGAGUUCCAUGCAAAGUUCUGCACCGAGCUUGAGCCAGGAAAGUUAAGUAGAACAUAGUCUGAUGAUCCAUUGACAAGGAAAUUUAAGCGAACACAGUUGUUGAUG